UUUCGUGGGGGAUAACGUAGGGAAACUUACGCUAAUACCGCAUACGACCUUCGGGUGAAAGCAGGGGACCUUCGGGCCUUGCGCGGAUAGAUGAGCCGAUGUCGGAUUAGCUAGUUGGCGGGGUAAAGGCCCACCAAGGCGACGAUCCGUAGCUGGUCUGAGAGGAUGAUCAGCCACACUGGAACUGAGACACGGUCCAGACUCCUACGGGAGGCAGCAGUGGGGAAUAUUGGACAAUGGGCGCAAGCCUGAUCCAGCCAUACCGCGUGGGUGAAGAAGGCCUUCGGGUUGUAAAGCCCUUUUGUUGGGAAAGAAAAGCAGUCGGCUAAUACCCGGUUGUUCUGACGGUACCCAAAGAAUAAGCACCGGCUAACUUCGUGCCAGCAGCCGCGGUAAUACGAAGGGUGCAAGCGUUACUCGGAAUUACUGGGCGUAAAGCGUGCGUAGGUGGUUGUUUAAGUCUGUUGUGAAAGCCCUGGGCUCAACCUGGGAAUUGCAGUGGAUACUGGGCGACUAGAGUGUGGUAGAGGGUAGUGGAAUUCCCGGUGUAGCAGUGAAAUGCGUAGAGAUCGGGAGGAACAUCCAUGGCGAAGGCAGCUACCUGGACCAACACUGACACUGAGGCACGAAAGCGUGGGGAGCAAACAGGAUUAGAUACUCUGGUAGUCCACGCCCUAAACGAUGCGAACUGGAUGUUGGGUGCAAUUUGGCACGCAGUAUCGAAGCUAACGCGUUAAGUUCGCCGCCUGGGGAGUACGGUCGCAAGACUGAAACUCAUAGGAAUUGACGGGGGCCCGCACAAGCGGUGGAGUAUGUGGUUUAAUUCGAUGCAACGCGAAG
RNAcentral lists this ribosomal RNA (840 nucleotides) under Stenotrophomonas sp. RNAcentral describes it as "bacterial SSU rRNA". It matches the Rfam family "Bacterial small subunit ribosomal RNA", at positions 132 to 966 of the family's 1533-position model. The record is from RNAcentral. Lineage: Bacteria; Pseudomonadati; Pseudomonadota; Gammaproteobacteria; Lysobacterales; Lysobacteraceae.